UCUUACCUUAUCUGUGUUUUCUUGCUAUAUCCAAAUUUCAAAAAUUACCUUAAAAAAAAAAAAGUAAGAAAAAAAGUAAAGCAGAAAAGGAGAUAUGGCCUUUUUCACUUGCUCCUCAUAACUAAGACAGAGCUUACAGAGAGAUUAUGCUUUGGCAUAAAGCAUCUUGGUCCAAAAUUUUCUUGCUCACCAGGAAAUGAUUAGUAAGAAUGUAUUGCAGAGAUCUGAAGAAAUUUUAAGAUACCUAUUCUUCCUAUACAGUCAGCUGUCCAAAGUUGAAAAGAGUAUGGGAAUUGGUAAAACGGAGGCAGGGAUGAUCUGGGGUUUGUUUUGUUUUUUCCCAGAGCUGUUACAAAAACAGGAAACUGAAUGGGUGGAAACCUGCUGUCAUCAACGCUGCACUUCCUCUGCUGAUGGAGAGUAACCAUACCUAGGUUUUGGUCCUGACUUGCUGGGAGUGUAUGCUGUACACCCCAGAUAAAAGGAUUUAUCAUGAAGGGACACUCCAAUGGGAGAGCUGGAGUAGAUAGCUCAGUUUGAGAACAUGUAGGCGUCAUCUACAGUGUGAACUUAGGAAUCUUCAGAGACAAUAAUUUGGCUGAACUGGCAACUAGAUUUUAGGAUGCAGAGGAACCUGCUACAUCUGAAGGAGGAACUAGUUGCUGCUUGCAGUUCUGUAUCUGAGCCCUAUCCUCAUUAAGCUGAAUAAUCCUUGAGUCACCCAAAAUCUAGAGAAAAGAAAAAUCCCAAAUGUCCGAGAAAGAAGAGGAUGCAGCCUGUGUCUAGAAGGCUUCUAAAUGCAUAUCCACUCAUUUGACUGAAAAGUGGAAGGUGUGGUUGUUGUUGGUUAGAGAAAGCCUUUAAGUCAUACAAACCCAGAAGUUUAAUGACUUAAUCAACAAUCAAGAGAGAUUGAAUGCCUGAAGAAACAUCCAGACACAAAGAAGUAUUUCUCAGCCCUUUAUGGUGGUAAAAUUGGUAGGAACAAAGGAUUCAAAAGGAAUUAUUUGGAACAUGUGUUGGUGGAUGAGAAACUCAACAUGACCUGGCAAUCGCUUGCAGCCCAAAAAGCCAACAGCAUCCUGGACACCAUCAAAAGAAGUCAGCAGGGAAGGGAGGAGUAGCAGGUAUUGUUUUACUCUGUUUGGGUGACUGAAGAUACCUUCAACAGCUGCUGCAACAGGAAGACUGCUCAAUAUUUGUCUCCCUUGGGAUGACUCUUGCCAGAUCUCUCCUGCAUGAAAUCAGUUCCCUGCCUUUGACUACAGCUGGCAAACUGCUAAAUACAAAAUCAUGGCUAAUAGAGGAACGACC
Oenanthe melanoleuca is the source of this 1314-nucleotide long non-coding RNA. RefSeq lists it as uncharacterized. The transcript is spliced from 3 exons. The record is from RefSeq and is a predicted model, not a curated record. NCBI's taxonomy places the organism in Eukaryota, Metazoa, Chordata, Aves, Passeriformes, Muscicapidae.